UCAGUUACAGGUCUAACUCCUUAUUCUACUCUUUCCUCCCUUCUCACUACUGCAUUUGACUAAUCUUU
Molecule: non-coding RNA, 68 nt
Filed under: Homo sapiens (human)
Lineage: Eukaryota; Metazoa; Chordata; Mammalia; Primates; Hominidae
Source: RNAcentral